RNAcentral lists this long non-coding RNA (411 nucleotides) under Malus domestica (apple). RNAcentral describes it as "long non-coding RNA (MDOM_LNC011260)". The record is from RNAcentral. Lineage: Eukaryota; Viridiplantae; Streptophyta; Magnoliopsida; Rosales; Rosaceae.
UUAAACCACAUUAUCCUUACCUAGCCUAGUUUAGGACCAUCCAUACCCUUGUUCUUGAAGCAUAGUAAAGUAUGAGUCAAAUUGAAUUCCUUUUGAUUAAUGUAUGGCAGAAAACAAGUGUGGGGGAAGUGAUUCUUGUGUGUGUGUAUGCCAAAAUCAUUCAUAAGGCACGAGUAGAAAAGAAAGAUUCGUGAAAAAUAGAAUGAAAAGAAGAAGAGCUGUGAAGAGAAAAGGAGUUGAAAAAUAUGUGAAAAAGAGUUUUAAAGUGUUGCUUGUUGAAGAAAGGGUCCAAAACAUUGAAUUCGGCCCUAAAUAUUGCUUGAAUCUUCCCUUCGUGUUAAAAGUUGAUUACUGCAAUCUAAGUGAAUUCUAAGUUUCCAUUUCAUUACUUUUCUUGCUAUUGCUUUAAGA